Molecule: ribosomal RNA, 691 nt
Filed under: uncultured bacterium
Lineage: Bacteria
Description: bacterial SSU rRNA
Rfam family: Bacterial small subunit ribosomal RNA
Source: RNAcentral
CAUGCAGUCGAACGGAAACGAUGGAAAGCUUGCUUUUCAGGCGUCGAGAGGCGGACGGGUGAGUAACGCGUGGGAAUCUACCCUAUAGUUGGGGACAACAUAUGGAAACGUAUGCUAAUACCGAAUAUGCUCUACGGAGUAAAGGAGCCCUCUUCAUGAAAGGUUUCGCUAUAGGAUGAGCCCGCGUUAGAUUAGCUAGUUGGUGAGGUAAAGGCUCACCAAGGCCACGAUCUAUAGCUGGUUUGAGAGGAUGAUCAGCCACACUGGGACUGAGACACGGCCCAGACUCCUACGGGAGGCAGCAGUGGGGAAUAUUGCACAAUGGACGCAAGUCUGAUGCAGCCAUACCGCGUGUGUGAAGAAGGCCCGAGGGUUGUAAAGCACUUUCAGUAGGGAGGAAGAUAGUAAGGUUAAUACCCUUAUUGUUUGACGUUACCUACAGAAGAAGCACCGGCUAACUCUGUGCCAGCAGCCGCGGUAAUACAGAGGGUGCAAGCGUUAUUCGGAAUUACUGGGCGUAAAGCGCGCGUAGGCGGAUAAUUAAGUCAGUUGUGAAAGCCCUGGGCUCAACCUAGGAACUGCAUCUGAUACUGAUUGUCUAGAGUUUAAGAGAGGGAAGUGGAAUUCCAGGUGUAGCAGUGAAAUGCGUAGAUAUCUGGAGGAACAUCAGUGGCGAAGGCGACUUCCUGGC